CAUGGCCGCCUUGGUCGCGCAACCGCCGUGGAGCUUCCUCAGCGACCGGCGGAGCUCGACGUCCAGAGAGACGCUGGACCUGACACCAGCUAGUGCCCCCACGGCCACCACAGGGGUGGGGCAGAGGCCGGGACCAGAGAAGACCAGCUUCCACGCCUCACCAGCGUAUUCACUCUCACUGGGCCCACCCUGUGCUCCACUGGCAGUCGGUGGGGACGGCCUCUGACGGGACUACCAGCAGGAUGUCAAGAGAGCCAGGCAGAGGACGAGGUAAUGGUACCGGAGUUUAAAGGCGUGUGACGGUUCAAUUCUAUUCUCAUACCUGUCAGCAGAUUUCUGCGGCCUUUGUUUCACCUGAGAUAAGGUCUACCCGCUCCCUUUUUUUGGCCCUUUGUGAAUGAGAGAACCACGGGAUGGGACGCAGCUCAACACUGAGUCUCGGCUUAAAUCUCGCCUAGAGAUGCCUUCUCGAACCUCCCAGUUCAAGUAGCUCCACUUCUCGUCUCCACCAAGUUACCCGGUUUUAUUUUCCUCGUGACUCUCAGAACAUUUUCCUGUUAAUAUAUGUGUUUGUUGAUUAUCUGAUUUCUGCUUCUGAAUGUAAAUGCCUACAGGACAGAGACUUCGCCCCCACAAUAUCCCCAAGAGCCCAGAACAGUGCAAACACUUGGAUGAAUGAUUGACUGAACAAGGAAACCCCUCAAUAUAAUUCUCCUUUGCAGAUUUCCACCUUUGGCUAAUAGAGGGCAAGUUCAAAAUUCA
Long non-coding RNA from Lynx canadensis (Canada lynx), 762 nucleotides. RefSeq lists it as uncharacterized. Lineage: Eukaryota; Metazoa; Chordata; Mammalia; Carnivora; Felidae. The record is from RefSeq and is a predicted model, not a curated record. The transcript has 4 exons.